RNAcentral lists this long non-coding RNA (381 nucleotides) under Sarcophilus harrisii (Tasmanian devil). RNAcentral's name for it is "lncRNA (ENSSHAG00000021899.1)". The record is from RNAcentral. Lineage: Eukaryota; Metazoa; Chordata; Mammalia; Dasyuromorphia; Dasyuridae.
UUCCGUCUUUUUGAGUGCACCUCUGAUUCGCUGACCAGGAGAGAGUAAAGGAGCAAGAGCGCCAGCGUCGAACCGGCUCCUGGCUCGCGGCUUCCUGCUUCCUGUCCUGUCGGGAGGACCAAAGUGAGCGCGGGAGGAUCCCUGCCCUCCUUUUCCCCACCUUGGCUCAGCCCCGUAAAGACCCUGCUCUUCCCCAGCGGCAGAUGGAGGCCAAGGAGGGCCCGACUUCUGGCUUCCUCAUGGCCCCCUUUCAGGAGCCAGUGACCUUCCGGGAUGUGGCCGUGGACUUCACCUGGGAGGAGUGGAGGGUCCUGGAGCCGGCCCAGAGGGCCCUGCACAGGGACGUGAUGCUGGAGACCUUCCAGAACCUGGUCUCUGUGG